RNAcentral lists this ribosomal RNA (488 nucleotides) under uncultured bacterium. RNAcentral describes it as "partial 16S ribosomal RNA". It matches the Rfam family "Bacterial small subunit ribosomal RNA", at positions 28 to 507 of the family's 1533-position model. The record is from RNAcentral.
GACGAACGCUGGCGGCGUGCUUAACACAUGCAAGUCGAACGAAAAUACCAAGCUUGCUUGGUUGAUUAGUGGCGAACGGGUGAGUAACACGUGAGUAACCUGCCCCUUACUUUCCUGGAUAACUGCUCGAAAGGGUAGCUAAUACGGGAUAUUCUGACCAGCCUGCAUGGGUUGGUUUGGAAAGGUUGUUUUUCUGGUAAGGGAUGGGCUCGCGGCCUAUCAGCUUGUUGGUGGGGUGAUGGCCUACCAAGGCUUUGACGGGUAGCCGGCCUGAGAGGGUGGACGGUCACACUGGGACUGAGAUACGGCCCAGACUCCUACGGGAGGCAGCAGUGGGGAAGAUUGCACAAUGGGCGCAAGCCUGAUGCAGCGACGCCGCGUGAGGGAUGAAGGCCUUCGGGUUGUAAACCUCUUUCGUCAGGGAACAAGGCACUGCUUUUGUGGUGGUGUUGAGGGUACCUGGAUAAGAAGCGCCGGCUAACUACGUG